AGGGUGUCAGGGGUGCAUCUGAAUUUUUGGGACAUCAUGUGAGUAGUUAGACGGUAGAGGUUGAGACAGAGAAAUUCAACUUGGUUUCUCUGGGUUUUCAGACUGCUCUUGGGGAAUGGGGGAGGGGUGGGUUGUUCUCUGAACUUAUAAAACAUUUGGUGCUCAUUCCUCUCCAGAUAUAUUUCAUGUUACUGUGAAAGCUGUGUAAGUUCAUGCCUACUCAGACCCAGCGAGUCUCCCAGUGUUCCCCAGAUACUGUUUCCCUGGCCAACUCUGCUUAACUGAAAUCCUGGACAUUACACCAUCAACUGCAGAAAUUCCUUUUCCUGUGAACCACAAGAGGAUGACCAUUCUCCCACAAGAUCACUCAGAACUACAGCAUGCAAACACACUAAUAUCACCAAAGCUGCCGACAAUGCCGAUGAAGAUGAAGGUGAAGUGUGAUGUUGAUUGCUGCUCCUUAUAACUGUAGAAACCUGACUACCUACUUUGGCAGCAGCUCGAAGAGGGGGUUCAGGGAAAGCCAACAACCCAACAGAAUAUAAGAAGCUAAAGAGCCAGCCAUCUGCAUACGGGAACACGUGAAAGUGGUUACACUGCGGUUUUUGGAGCUCAAAAGCCAGUGGAGUUUGCUGUAGAGAGUCUACAACAGAAAAAUUCGCAGACUCUCUCAGAAGGCUUGGGAAAGAAAAGGAUAUUCUAGCCAGUGGGGUUGUGACUCCAGCUGAGGGUAGCUCGAGCCUGUACUGGUGACUGCAAAGCCAAAGGCAAGCACCUUUUCCCUGAAUUUGUGCCCCAGAAGUUAGACGCCAGAUGUAGCACGAAUCCUAAUUGUUCUUAAUAAAAACACAAAGUCAGAUAUCAGGGUAAAUGCUGAAAGAUCAGAGAGACAAAGGAACAAGCCACAACCACUUGUGACCUGGCCAAA
This is a non-coding RNA of Peromyscus maniculatus bairdii (prairie deer mouse), 928 nucleotides long. Lineage: Eukaryota; Metazoa; Chordata; Mammalia; Rodentia; Cricetidae. The record is from RefSeq and is a predicted model, not a curated record.